UCAUAAUGAUGUUCAUGAUGGUGCUCGUGAUCAUGAUCGUGGUCAUGGUCAUGAUGGUGAUGAUGCUCAUGUUCAUCUUCGUCAUCAUCGUCAUGG
Molecule: unclassified non-coding RNA, 96 nt
Filed under: Lachnospiraceae bacterium
Lineage: Bacteria; Bacillati; Bacillota; Clostridia; Lachnospirales; Lachnospiraceae
Description: microRNA mir-598
Source: RNAcentral